UGGGGAAUAUUGCACAAUGGGCGCAAGUCUGAUGCAGCCAUGCCGCGUGUAUGAAGAAGGCCUUCGGGUUGUAAAGUACUUUCAGCGGGGAGGAAGGGAGUAAAGUUAAUACCUUUGCUCAUUGACGUUACCCGCAGAAGAAGCACCGGCUAACUCCGUGCCAGCAGCCGCGGUAAUACGGAGGGUGCAAGCGUUAAUCGGAAUUACUGGGCGUAAAGCGCACGCAGGCGUUUGUUAAGUAGAUGUGAAUCCCCGGGCUCAACCUGGGAACUGCAUCUGAUACUGGCAAGCUUGAGUCUCGUAGAGGGGGGUAGAAUUCCAGGUGUAGCGGUGAAAUGCGUAGAGAUCUGGAGGAAUACCGGUGGCGAAGGCGGCCCCCCUGGACGAAGACUGACGCUCGGUGCGAAAGC
RNAcentral lists this ribosomal RNA (410 nucleotides) under uncultured bacterium. RNAcentral's name for it is "partial 16S ribosomal RNA". It matches the Rfam family "Bacterial small subunit ribosomal RNA", at positions 355 to 760 of the family's 1533-position model. The record is from RNAcentral.